Molecule: unclassified non-coding RNA, 201 nt
Filed under: plant metagenome
Description: partial contains small subunit ribosomal RNA, internal transcribed spacer 1, and 5.8S ribosomal RNA
Source: RNAcentral
UCUCCGUUGGUGAACCAGUGGAGGGAUCAUUAUCGAGUUUAUAACUCCCAAACCCUAUGUGAACUUACCACUUGUUGCUUCGGCGCGCGCUUCGGUGCCGCCGAGGACACUUAAACUCUUUGUUUUUAUAAGCAUUUCUGAGUGGCCGAAAGGCAAAAUACAAAUGAAUCAAAACUUUCAACAACGGAUCUCUUGGUUCUG